AUCUCCAUCAACUCCUGUAUAAACUGUGUUGCAUGCAACAACAAAUGUUUCAUAGUGUAUGUUAUUACAGUGUAAUACUCCUUAUUAGGUGAUUCUAGAGUGUGCUAGUGAAGCCCCCAAUAGUGCUGCAGUUACUGUACACUGCAGUGUGAUAUACUGGUCCUGUGUAUAGGAGCUCUUACUUAAUAGAGUAUACUAAAGAACCAAAUAAUAUAACAGGAUUAAUAUUAGUCCUUCAGUAUCAACAGUGUAAUAUAAGUAUUGUAUUUAGUAAUGAGGCUGGCAGUAGUGAGCCAUUUAUACUAGCAUUUGAUUAUUCUAAUAUCGCUACUACUGCUACUACUGCUGCAGCAAGCCAUCUUAAUGUCAGUGCUGUUAUCACAGCAACAUCACUGAGUGUUUUUAUUGUAUUAUUGAUAAUAAUAAUAAUUCUCAUUGUGCUUGUUAUAACAUACAAAAGGGAGUUAUAUAGGUUUACCUCAUUACAACAACAUCAACAAGAGUUACCUACUACACGUAAUGAAGCAUAUGAGCUCAACACUUUCAUGAUUACUACUACCAAUAAUAAUAAUCCUACUUAUGAAGAAGUAGGAAACAAAGCAGGAACAGCUAGCAUGUAAAUCAUUAAUUUUUGUUUCAUGUGUUGUAGUAGUUUAGCAACCCAUUUUAGUGACUUAAAUUAAUAAAGAUGUGUGUACAA
Amphimedon queenslandica is the source of this 700-nucleotide long non-coding RNA. RefSeq lists it as uncharacterized. The transcript is spliced from 4 exons. The record is from RefSeq and is a predicted model, not a curated record. NCBI's taxonomy places the organism in Eukaryota, Metazoa, Porifera, Demospongiae, Haplosclerida, Niphatidae.